CUGAUUUUGGCCCAGCGUGGCCCUAACCUUAGGCCAAAAGCACACUGGGUUCAUUCUCGGCCUGCAGAUAAACACAGUGGCUGCUGGCACACGGAGUAGGUUUCAGUGCCAAAAUUCAUACUCCCAAGUUUUAUCUGAAGCAGCAUGUGUCACAAUCUCCUUAGGCUUGUGGCUUGUGACACACAGGGAGUUCAACAGCACUGUCACAUGUUUUUAUUUUCAACUCAAAGAAGGAGCAGGCGUAAUUUUAGUGCUUUUCACCAUAGACCUAAGCAAGCACUCAUUAGGCAAAGUUGCCAAAUGAACAGAUUCAUGAAAUGGACCACUCAGAUCAAUUGGCUUUAGCCAACAAACAGAUCAUACCGCAGGAAGACUGUCCGUAGACAUAUGGCCCUACUGGGGACCCGUCAGGAGAGAACUGCAUCAAUGCGCUCAUGUGCUAACUCUUGUGCGAUCAAAAUCUGCCCUAUAUUUCAGCCAGAUAUUGAUUGGGCAGGUCCUUCCAAGGGCCCCAUAGAUGGGCUGAUAAUCUGCCAACUCUGAAGAAGACGGGAUCAGUGACCCCCCCAUUUCAAAGCUGGAAGGAGAAGGCAAAUAAUUCAAGAACUACAGAAAAAGAAAAAAAGGUCUGGCUGUGGGGGACCCGUCUGGAUGCAUCCGAGUGAAUCCGUGCAAGUGUCUGAUGAAAGACGGAUCUGGAGUCAUCGACCUGGCCGCCUUGGGAGACUCGGAGGGUUUCCUAAUUAGGGAGCUGAAGGUGCAGAGGGACGUGGGGCGCAUCAUGAUGAAACAGUGGGUCACUUUCAGCCCUUGUCUCCCCUUCAGUGAACCUGCUGCUCUUGUGAACUGCUCGCAUGUGGCUGUGUGUGUCGUAACCAGGGAUCAGCUGUCCCCAAGGCAAUCGCUCCUUUUCACAAGCUACGGGCAACACGAGGGCAAUGAAUUUGUGUACAGCAAUGAGAGCAGAAUCCUGUCUGUGACUUAUCAAGCUGUACCUGGAAGCCAUUUUAGGAGCACGGUCCACUUUAAUUGUAGUACAACAACUUCCAUCACCUUCCCCUCCAGCACUGAACAUCCUGAUAGGCUGGAGAUGAUCGUGCACAGCCCCUAUGUGUGCCCUGGCAGGUUUCCAACCCAAGAUGUCGGCCCCGGGACCAUCAUACUUAUUAUGUUUGCUGUCUCUGCCGUGUUGUAUUUCAUAUUUGGUACCUGCUCUCUUCGUUCCACUGAAACUUACGAAGGAGUCCAGAUUAUCCCAGAGCCUCAACUCUGGUGCUGGAUCUGCUAUCAGCUCCGGAGAAGGAAAGACCCCAGAAAAACCUAUUCUUCCACUCUUUAGCAGCCAUGAGUUCAGAUCAGGAUGAAGAACAGAACAUGAGAGCAGAAGGCCACAGCAUCACAGCUUGUACUCAUAGUUUGGGACCCUGUUGGACCCCGUAGCACCCGGAUCAUGUCUAUAAGAUCAUCAGAGGAAGGUGGUAUCCAGAUCAGAACUAUGAACAGUUACCACCAAAGCCUGGUGUGGAAAAUGAAGAAGCACAGAGGGGAGUCAGUACCACUUAUCUUUUCCCACCUCUCCACCAGACUCAGAUUCAGCUCUUGGACAACCCAGUGAUAUGAUAUUCUGCCAACCUCAGUGCCCUGACUUACUCUGCUUUACUGAUUUUCUACCUACUGCACCAGCGGAGAAGGAUCUACUACAUCCCACACGGUCUGAUCAGAGCAGGGGGUUAUGGGAGAUUAUACCCAAGUAAUAUGUUGGCAUGUAUGUAUGGAAGCAAAUACCUGCCCACCAAAAUGGUGCUGCUGCCAUGUGGGUGAGACCUUAAUUCUGCUUGUUUGUCUGCGCGUCAGAGAGAGAGUGUGAGUGAGUGAGCAUUACAGUGCAGUAAGUGUGCCCGUGGCUACCUGUGGCUGCUGCACCGAGUUAACCCACCAGAUGCCACUGUCGGGCUGAAUGCAGAAUUUAUUCUGAUUUCCCGGUGCCUCCCACCUGUAAUUCACUUGUGGGAAUUGUAGUUCAGAGGAGUCUCUCUCACUCUUUCU
Xenopus laevis (African clawed frog) is the source of this 2046-nucleotide RNA transcript. RefSeq lists it as uncharacterized. NCBI's taxonomy places the organism in Eukaryota, Metazoa, Chordata, Amphibia, Anura, Pipidae. The transcript has 8 exons. The record is from RefSeq and is a predicted model, not a curated record.